AGCGGUCACAGGAGAGGGGAAACACCCGAACCCAUUCCGAACUCGGAAGUUAAGCCCUCUUACGAUGUUGUUUGUACUGCGCUCUGCGCGGGAAGGCGCAUUGCUGC
Molecule: ribosomal RNA, 107 nt
Filed under: uncultured archaeon
Lineage: Archaea
Source: RNAcentral